Molecule: ribosomal RNA, 469 nt
Filed under: uncultured bacterium
Lineage: Bacteria
Description: partial 16S ribosomal RNA
Rfam family: Bacterial small subunit ribosomal RNA
Source: RNAcentral
GACGAACGCUGGCGGCGUGCUUAACACGUGCAAGUCGAACGGAAAGGCCCUGCUUUUGUGGGGUGCUCGAGUGGCGAACGGGUGAGUAACACGUGAGUAACCUGCCCUUGACUUUGGGAUAACUUCAGGAAACUGGGGCUAAUACCGGAUAGGAGCUCCUGCUGCAUGGUGGGGGUUGGAAAGUUUCGGCGGUUGGGGAUGGACUCGCGGCUUAUCAGCUUGUUGGUGGGGUAGUGGCUUACCAAGGCUUUGACGGGUAGCCGGCCUGAGAGGGUGACCGGCCACAUUGGGACUGAGAUACGGCCCAGACUCCUACGGGAGGCAGCAGUGGGGAAUAUUGCACAAUGGGCGGAAGCCUGAUGCAGCAACGCCGCGUGCGGGAUGACGGCCUUCGGGUUGUAAACCGCUUUCGCUCAUGACGAAGCUUUGUGUGACGGUAGUGGGUAAAGAAGCACCGGCUAACUACGUG